Molecule: transfer RNA, 55 nt
Filed under: Setaria labiatopapillosa
Lineage: Eukaryota; Metazoa; Nematoda; Chromadorea; Rhabditida; Setariidae
Description: tRNA-Met
Source: RNAcentral
AAUAUGGUAGGAUAAAUUAGUCUAUGAGAUUCAUAUUCUUAUGGUUUUCAUAUUU